CGCAACGCGCAGACCCUUACCAACCCUUGACAUGUCUCGUAUGGUUUCCAGAGAUGGAUUCCUUCAGUUCGGCUGGCGAGAACACAGGUGUUGCAUGGCUGUCGUCAGCUCGUGUCGUGAGAUGUUGGGUUAAGUCCCGCAACGAGCGCAACCCUCGCCUUUAGUUGCCAUCAUUUAGUUGGGCACUCUAGAGGGACUGCCGGUGAUAAGCCGGAGGAAGGUGGGGAUGACGUCAAGUCCUCAUGGCCCUUACGGGUUGGGCUACACACGUGCUACAAUGGCGGCGACAAUGGGCAGCGAAGGGGCGACCCGGUGCAAAUCCCAAAAAGCCGUCUCAGUUCGGAUUGUACUCUGCAACUCGAGUGCAUGAAGGUGGAAUCGCUAGUAAUCGCGUAACAGCAUGACGCGGUGAAUACGUUCCCGGGCCUUGUACACACCGCCCGUCACACCAUGGGAGUUGGUUUUACCCGAAGCUGGUGCGCUAACCGCAAGGAGGCAGCCAACCACGGUAAGGUCAGCGACUGGGGUGAAGUCGUAACAAGGUAGCCCUAGGGGAACCUGGGGCUGGAUCACCUCCUUAAGCUUGGAUACCCGGG
RNAcentral lists this ribosomal RNA (596 nucleotides) under uncultured bacterium. RNAcentral describes it as "bacterial SSU rRNA". It matches the Rfam family "Bacterial small subunit ribosomal RNA", at positions 955 to 1533 of the family's 1533-position model. The record is from RNAcentral.